AUUUUGUAUUUUAAUCUUGUCUGAAAUGUGUGUAUUUCUGUCACGGGAACCAGCAAAGAACAUAGAAACAGGUAGCGUAAGACCCCUUAAGAUAAAGGGAAGGAGUCCAUUAUUUGCAUAGAGCAGGUGUCUGUGGGAGGUUCACUUUCUCUCUUUGCGUUGCUUCGAAUUCUUCGUUUUUACUACAUUCAACCACUUGUAAACCCUUGGUCAAGCUGUUAAUCAAGGCAUAAAUUCCAUUGUAGGUAUCCCUGCUAUCGAAGGAAAUAAAAAUUCUGUCUCUCUGGAAUUAGGAAGAGCAUGCAGAAUGUUGAAAGGGUUUAAGAUAGACUCAUGUGUGUGAGAAUGCCCCUUCUCAGAAAACCAGAAAAGACAGCCUGCACUAAUUAAAUGAUUGUGCUUUCUUUUCAAAAAAGUUUUCAGUUUUACUUAAAUAGGAGAGAAACCACAGCGGAGGAGGCACUCAGGGCCUUUUUCUUUUUUUCAGCAGUGGAGCAGCAGACAUCAUGGAUCACAGGUGUCUCUAAUCAGGCUGCAAGGAGACGUUUCUCGGCGUUUCUGAUAUUUCAACCCUACCGCACCUGCGAGGGGGAGGCUCCAGCCAGCCAGGCGGGCAGGAGGCCAUUGCUGCUGCCACUCCAGAACCUCAUAAGGGUUUAUUGUCUGCCCACAGCGUAUUUGUCCAGGUGGACCUCCUGAUCCUCCAGAACCUGCUGGGUCCCAUCCCAGCAGCUGUCAGGAGGGAGAUACCGUGUCCUCACUAGCAGCUGCAGGCUCUUUGCCUGUUUGUGGUGUCAAUGUUUGAGUCUCCCCCUAAUUCACAUGCUGAAAUUCUCACCCCCAAGGUGAUGGUGUUAGGAGCUGGGGGCUUUAGGAGAUGAUGAACUCAUAAAGGUGGACCCCCAUGAGUGGGAUUCGUGCCCUUUUGAAAGAGAUCGUGGAGAGCUCCCUCACUCCUUCUACCAUGUGAGGACACAGUGAGAAGCUGCCAUCUAUGACCAAGGAAACAGAUACUCAGCAGACACCAGAUCUGCCAGCACCUUGAUCUGGGACUUCUGACCUCUAGCGUUGUGAGAAGUGACUGUGUUGUGUGAAGGUCACGGUCUAUGGUGACAGAACACCACAGGGGACCCAGACAUGGCCCCCAUGCUCGCUACAGGAAGCCGGCGGUGGAGCCCUCUUCCCUCCUUGAAGUCUGGAUGUGACCGAAAAACUGUGGGUUCAAAUGUAAACAGGCUUGUUCUGUGAAGAUGGACCUUUAUUCUGGCAGAUUUCAGCGUGACUUGCUUGUAUUGUCAAUUGUGACUUAAGAUGGGUGUCGCUAGUCCAGGGUGAGACAGUGGGAACUGGCGUGGAUGCAGCUGGGGUCCGCACCCUUCUUAAGUGGUAGCAGCUGACGUUCAUGGAGUACACAUUCCGAGCCAAGCAUUCUUUUAUCAUUUUCUUAUUAAUUCUCUUUAUAAGUCUUUGAGAAAAGUGCUCUUAUUAGCCCCAUUUUAAAGAUGCAGAGAUGGAGACACAGGGAAGUUGCAUGAUCUGAGUACCUUAUGGCAGGUGCUGGCAGAGUUAGGAGAGGAGCCAGGAGGUUCCCGUCCAAUGCCUGCAGCUGCUGCCAAGCUUUCCUCCUUGCCAGGUCGCCACCUGAGAGCGGGAGCUGAGAGAAACUUGCUCUCUGCCCUGGUGGAGGCUGCAAGCCCUAGGAGGGAGGUUGACUCUUGCCCCACCAGUUCCAUGUUUCUGUUUUGCAUGGGCUCCACAUAGCACAUCCAUCUGCCCUGGGCUGAGAGAAGAGGCAUCAGAACUUUGCAGUCAACCAGUUCCAGUGGCUGACUAGGACUAAAGUGUGUUCAUGACCAGCACUACUUGAGGCAAUAUAGAACAUGUACUUUGAGACAAUCAGGGAACUCUGCAGUCAACACUCAUGUAGAAAAACAAACAAACAAAAAAAAAUCAAGGUACAAGAAUACACAGCAACUAAGAGGGCACUCAUGCAGAAAUGAGUGCCAGGUAUUCUCCAUCACUGAUAAAUUUAAGUUGCUGGCACGUGGCUAGAAGAAAAGGAACAAUGAAGCAUUUAGAUAAUUCAACUAUUCCCAAAAGUACAUGUUAAUUCCACAUCAUGGCAGUUGUGAUCAGUGCUGCAAUAAACAUGGGGUGCAGGUGUUUCUUUGGCA
This is a long non-coding RNA of Piliocolobus tephrosceles (Ugandan red Colobus), 2174 nucleotides long. Lineage: Eukaryota; Metazoa; Chordata; Mammalia; Primates; Cercopithecidae. The record is from Ensembl.